UAUGUUUCAAGCUGUCGAGGUUCUCCGCACCGUUUGCACGGCACGGAGCUAAGACGGGAAGCCGGUGCAAAACCGGCGCUGCCCCCGCAACUGUAAGCGGUGAGCGGCGGUCGAUACGUGUCACUGGUCCGGCAAGGGACCGGGAAGGCCAGACCGCUGCGUCGAUCCGUGAGCCAGGAGACCUGCCUCGUCAGAUACGUCCUC
RNAcentral lists this non-coding RNA (204 nucleotides) under Sphingopyxis sp. Lineage: Bacteria; Pseudomonadati; Pseudomonadota; Alphaproteobacteria; Sphingomonadales; Sphingopyxidaceae. The record is from RNAcentral.